AGGUUUUACUGUAUGUGGGCA
Molecule: non-coding RNA, 21 nt
Filed under: Arabidopsis thaliana (thale cress)
Lineage: Eukaryota; Viridiplantae; Streptophyta; Magnoliopsida; Brassicales; Brassicaceae
Source: RNAcentral